This 396-nucleotide ribosomal RNA is filed under the name uncultured bacterium. Its description in RNAcentral is "partial 16S ribosomal RNA". It matches the Rfam family "Bacterial small subunit ribosomal RNA", at positions 523 to 918 of the family's 1533-position model. The record is from RNAcentral.
AUACGUAGGUGGCAAGCGUUGUCCGGAAUUAUUGGGCGUAAAGCGCAUGUAGGCGGUUUGGUAAGUCGGUCGUGAAAAUGCGGUGCUUGACGCCGGAUGGCGGUCGAAACUGCUGAACUUGAGUGCAGGAGAGGAAAGGGGAACUCCCAGUGUAGCGGUGAAAUGCGUAGAUAUUGGGAAGAACACCGGUGGCGAAGGCGCCUUUCUGGACUGUGUCUGACGCUCAGAUGCGAAAGCCAGGGUAGCGAACGGGAUUAGAUACCCCGGUAGUCCUGGCCGUAAACGAUGGGUACUAGGUGUGGGAGGUAUCGACUCCUUCCGUGCCGGAGUUAACGCAAUAAGUACCCCGCCUGGGGAGUACGGCCGCAAGGUUUAAACUCAAAUGAAUUGACGGGG